AGAUAGCUCAGUCGGUAGAGCAGGGGACUGAAAAUCCCCGUGUCGGUGGUUCGAUUCCGCCUCUGGGCACCA
This 72-nucleotide transfer RNA is filed under the name Clostridioides difficile CD178. RNAcentral describes it as "partial tRNA-Phe". It matches the Rfam family "tRNA". Rfam says of the family: Transfer RNA (tRNA) molecules are approximately 80 nucleotides in length. RNAcentral also lists the same sequence under 1 other name. Lineage: Bacteria; Bacillati; Bacillota; Clostridia; Peptostreptococcales; Peptostreptococcaceae. The record is from RNAcentral.